Molecule: ribosomal RNA, 382 nt
Filed under: Eutintinnidae sp.
Lineage: Eukaryota; Ciliophora; Spirotrichea; Tintinnida; Eutintinnidae
Description: partial small subunit ribosomal RNA
Rfam family: Eukaryotic small subunit ribosomal RNA
Source: RNAcentral
AUUCCAGCUCCAAUAGCGUAUAUUAAAGUUGUUGCAGUUAAAAAGCUCGUAGUUGGAUUUCUGGUGGGCGGACAAGAGCGGCAUGAAGUGUCAGCUUGCGUUCCCCGCCAUCCUUCUGUUAAACCGGUACGGUGUUUGUUCGCUGACCGGCGGCUCAGAUAUUUUACCUUGAGAAAAUUAGAGUGUUUCAGGCAGGCUCGGCCGGGAUACAUUAGCAUGGAAUAAUGGAAUAGGACUCCAGCCUCUUCUGUUGGUCUGAGGGGUUGAAGUAAUGGUUAAUAGGGAUAGUUGGGGGCAUUAGUACUUAACUGUCAGAGGUGAAAUUCUUGGAUUUGUUAAAGACUAACUUAUGCGAAAGCAUUUGCCAAGGAUGUUUUCAUUA